CGGUUAAGCUUCACUUCUCGGCCCCACGUCGUGGUCCUACACCCCCGGGGUCGCCGUAACGCCCCUGGUUUGGGCUCUUCCGCGUUCGCUCGCCACUACUUACGGAAUCACGGUUGUUUUCUUUUCCUGUGGGUACUGAGAUGUUUCACUUCCCCACGUUCCCUCCUACUGCCCUAUAUAUUCAGGCAGAGGUCGCCGGACAUUACUCCGGUUUCUUUCGAGGUUUCCCUAUUCGGAGAUCCCCGGAUCGAAGCUCGUUUACCAGCUCCCCGGGGCUUAUCGCAGGUUACAACGUCCUUCAUCGGCUC
Molecule: ribosomal RNA, 308 nt
Filed under: Anophryoides haemophila
Lineage: Eukaryota; Ciliophora; Oligohymenophorea; Philasterida; Glauconematidae
Description: partial Bacterial large subunit ribosomal RNA
Source: RNAcentral